Molecule: ribosomal RNA, 475 nt
Filed under: Pseudomonas fluorescens
Lineage: Bacteria; Pseudomonadati; Pseudomonadota; Gammaproteobacteria; Pseudomonadales; Pseudomonadaceae
Description: bacterial SSU rRNA
Rfam family: Bacterial small subunit ribosomal RNA
Source: RNAcentral
AUUGAACGCUGCGGCAGGCCUAACACAUGCAAGUCGAGCGGUAGAGAGAAGCUUGCUUCUCUUGAGAGCGGCGGACGGGUGAGUAAUGCCUAGGAAUCUGCCUGGUAGUGGGGGAUAACGUUCGGAAACGGACGCUAAUACCGCAUACGUCCUACGGGAGAAAGCAGGGGACCUUCGGGCCUUGCGCUAUCAGAUGAGCCUAGGUCGGAUUAGCUAGUUGGUGAGGUAAUGGCUCACCAAGGCGACGAUCCGUAACUGGUCUGAGAGGAUGAUCAGUCACACUGGAACUGAGACACGGUCCAGACUCCUACGGGAGGCAGCAGUGGGGAAUAUUGGACAAUGGGCGAAAGCCUGAUCCAGCCAUGCCGCGUGUGUGAAGAAGGUCUUCGGAUUGUAAAGCACUUUAAGUUGGGAGGAAGGGCAGUUACCUAAUACGUGAUUGUUUUGACGUUACCGACAGAAUAAGCACCGGUAA